RNAcentral lists this ribosomal RNA (801 nucleotides) under Streptomyces sp. RM363. RNAcentral's name for it is "bacterial SSU rRNA". It matches the Rfam family "Bacterial small subunit ribosomal RNA", at positions 111 to 924 of the family's 1533-position model. Lineage: Bacteria; Bacillati; Actinomycetota; Actinomycetes; Kitasatosporales; Streptomycetaceae. The record is from RNAcentral.
UAACACGUGGGCAAUCUGCCCUUCACUCUGGGACAAGCCCUGGAAACGGGGUCUAAUACCGGAUAACACUCUGUCCCGCAUGGGACGGGGUUGAAAGCUCCGGCGGUGAAGGAUGAGCCCGCGGCCUAUCAGCUUGUUGGUGGGGUAAUGGCCUACCAAGGCGACGACGGGUAGCCGGCCUGAGAGGGCGACCGGCCACACUGGGACUGAGACACGGCCCAGACUCCUACGGGAGGCAGCAGUGGGGAAUAUUGCACAAUGGGCGAAAGCCUGAUGCAGCGACGCCGCGUGAGGGAUGACGGCCUUCGGGUUGUAAACCUCUUUCAGCAGGGAAGAAGCGAAAGUGACGGUACCUGCAGAAGAAGCGCCGGCUAACUACGUGCCAGCAGCCGCGGUAAUACGUAGGGCGCAAGCGUUGUCCGGAAUUAUUGGGCGUAAAGAGCUCGUAGGCGGCUUGUCACGUCGGAUGUGAAAGCCCGGGGCUUAACCCCGGGUCUGCAUUCGAUACGGGCUAGCUAGAGUGUGGUAGGGGAGAUCGGAAUUCCUGGUGUAGCGGUGAAAUGCGCAGAUAUCAGGAGGAACACCGGUGGCGAAGGCGGAUCUCUGGGCCAUUACUGACGCUGAGGAGCGAAAGCGUGGGGAGCGAACAGGAUUAGAUACCCUGGUAGUCCACGCCGUAAACGUUGGGAACUAGGUGUUGGCGACAUUCCACGUCGUCGGUGCCGCAGCUAACGCAUUAAGUUCCCCGCCUGGGGAGUACGGCCGCAAGGCUAAAACUCAAAGGAAUUGACGGGGGCCCGC